Molecule: ribosomal RNA, 512 nt
Filed under: uncultured bacterium
Lineage: Bacteria
Description: partial 16S ribosomal RNA
Rfam family: Bacterial small subunit ribosomal RNA
Source: RNAcentral
UGGGGAAUUUUGGACAAUGGGCGAAAGCCUGAUCCAGCAAUGCCGCGUGUGUGAAGAAGGCCUUCGGGUUGUAAAGCACUUUUGUCCGGAAAGAAAUCCUUGGCUCUAAUACAGUCGGGGGAUGACGGUACCGGAAGAAUAAGCACCGGCUAACUACGUGCCAGCAGCCGCGGUAAUACGUAGGGUGCAAGCGUUAAUCGGAAUUACUGGGCGUAAAGCGUGCGCAGGCGGUUUGCUAAGACCGAUGUGAAAUCCCCGGGCUCAACCUGGGAACUGCAUUGGUGACUGGCAGGCUAGAGUAUGGCAGAGGGGGGUAGAAUUCCACGUNUAGCAGUGAAAUGCGUAGAGAUGUGGAGGAAUACCGAUGGCGAAGGCAGCCCCCUGGGCCAAUACUGACGCUCAUGCACGAAAGCGUGGGGAGCAAACAGGAUUAGAUACCCUGGUAGUCCACGCCCUAAACGAUGUCAACUAGUUGUUGGGGAUUCAUUUCCUUAGUAACGUAGCUAACGCGU